Molecule: unclassified non-coding RNA, 22 nt
Filed under: Mus musculus (house mouse)
Lineage: Eukaryota; Metazoa; Chordata; Mammalia; Rodentia; Muridae
Description: oocyte_clustered_small_RNA11270
Source: RNAcentral
AUCUUCUGGCCCAAAGUUCCAC